UGAAAAUACAUACAGGUGAAAAAACCCAUGAUUGUAAUGUAUGCGGUAAAGGGUUUAGUCGGUUAGGUCAUUUACAGAGACACAUGAGAACACAUACAGGUGAAAAACCUCAUGAGUGUGAUGUAUGUGGUAAAGGGUUUAGUCGGUUAUGUCAUUUACAGAGACACAUGAGAACACAUACAGGUGAAAAACCUCAUGAGUGUGAUGUAUGUGAUAAACGGUUUAGUCAGUUAGGUCAUUUACAGAGUCAUAUGAGAACGCAUAUCGGUGAUAAACCUCAUAAAUGUGAUGUAUGUGGUAAAGGCUUUAUUAGGCGUCGUGAAUUACAGAAUCACACGAGAACACAUACAGGGGAAAAACCUCAUGAAUGCGAUGUAUGUGGUAAAGGCUUUAUUAGGCGUCGUGAUUUACAGAAUCACACAAGCAUACAUACAGGUGAUAAACCUCAUGUAUGUGAUGUAUGUGGUAAAGGGUUUAGGCAGCGUGGAGUCUUACAGAUUCACAUGAGAACACAUACAGGUGAUAAACCUCAUGAGUGUGAUGUAUGUGGUAAAGGGUUUAGGCAGCGUGGUGACUUACAGAUUCACAUGAGAACACAUACAGGUGAUAAACCUCAUAACUGUGAUGUAUGUGGUAAAGCGUUUAGUCAUCGUAGUAGCUUACAGAGACACAUGAGAAUACAUACAGGGGAUAAACCUUAUGACUGUGAUGUGUGUGGUAAAGGAUUUAUUCAGCGUCGUGAUUUACAGAAUCACAUGAGAACGCAUACAGGUGAUAAACCUCAUAAAUGUGAUGUAUAUUAUGAAGGGUUUAGUCUUAUGGAGGAUCUAGUGAGUAAUCAGGUAGAGGAUCUAUUAAGUAAUGAGGUGGAUGAUCUAGCGAGUAAUAGUACCGUACAAAUUCAAAAUGAAACACAGGAUAGGAAUGCACCUCAUGAAUGUGACGUUUGAAUUAAAGAAUUUUUUCGAGAAAGUAAUCUUAAAAGACACAUACAAUAUCACAUUUUAUGCAUUGUGAACCUGAUGAAACCGAAUACCUGCCAAAACCGAACGAAAUCUCAAGUCCCGAAAGGGUUCGGUUUAGUCAGGUUUUACUGUAUGUGCUAAAAUAUUUUUUUUAAGCCUAGCCGUUUAAAGAGACACUCAAACAGGUGAAAAAACCCAUGAUUGUAAUGUAUGUGGUAAAGGAUUUAGUCAGCGUAGUAGCUUACAAAUACAUAUGAGAACAGACUCAGAUGAUAAACCUCAUGUUUGUGAUGUAUGUGGUAAACGGUUUAGUCAGUUAUGUAAUUUGCAGAGACACACGAGAACAAAUACAGGUGAUUAUCUUCAUGCCUGUGAUGUAUGUGGUAAAGGAUUUAGUCAGCGUAGUAGCUUACAAAUACAUAUGAGAACAGACUCAGAUGAUAAACCUCAUGUUUGUGGUGUAUGCGGUAAAGGGUUUAGUCAGUUAGGUAAUUUACAGAGACACACGAGAACACAUACAGGUGAUAAUCUUCAUGCCUGUAAUGUAUGCAGUAAAGAGUUUAAUCAGAGAUGUGGUUUACAGUACCACAUGAGAAUUCAUACAGGUGAUAAACCCCAUGAAUGUGAUAUAUGUUGUAUAAGGUUUAUUGCUGUAAGAAAUUUACAUAGUCAUAUGAGAACGC
This 1648-nucleotide long non-coding RNA is filed under the name Mytilus galloprovincialis (Mediterranean mussel). Lineage: Eukaryota; Metazoa; Mollusca; Bivalvia; Mytilida; Mytilidae. The record is from RNAcentral.